Molecule: unclassified non-coding RNA, 395 nt
Filed under: soil metagenome
Description: partial contains 5.8S ribosomal RNA, internal transcribed spacer 2, and large subunit ribosomal RNA
Rfam family: 5.8S ribosomal RNA (bases 1-120)
Source: RNAcentral
GAUGAAGAACGUAGCGAAAUGCGAUAAGUAAUGUGAAUUGCAGAAUUCAGUGAAUCAUCGAAUCUUUGAACGCAUCUUGCGCUCCUUGGUAUUCCGAGGAGCAUGCCUGUUUGAGUGUCAUUUUAACUUCUCAACCAUAUCGAAUUGUUUUUCGAGGUGGCUUGGACAUGGGGGUUUUUGCAGGCUUUAAUAAUGAAGUCGGCUCCUCUGAAAUGCAUUAGUGGUAUCUGAAGCAGAACUGCUACUAUUAGGUGUGAUAAUUAUCUAUGCCUCUUGGUAUACUGCAUGAACAGAUUGCGCUGCUUCCAACUUGUACACCCUUUGGUGUUUGACAAAUUUGACCUCAAAUCAGGUAGGACUACCCGCUGAACUUAAGCAUAUCAAUAAGCGGAAGA